Molecule: ribosomal RNA, 468 nt
Filed under: uncultured bacterium
Lineage: Bacteria
Description: partial 16S ribosomal RNA
Rfam family: Bacterial small subunit ribosomal RNA
Source: RNAcentral
GACGAACGCUGGCGGCGUGCUUAACACAUGCAAGUCGAACGGAAAGGCCCUGCUUUUGUGGGGUGCUCGAGUGGCGAACGGGUGAGUAACACGUGAGUAACCUGCCCUUGACUUUGGGAUAACUUCAGGAAACUGGGGCUAAUACCGGAUAGGAGCUCCUGCUGCAUGGUGGGGGUUGGAAAGUUUCGGCGGUUGGGGAUGGACUCGCGGCUUAUCAGCUUGUUGGUGGGGUAGUGGCUUACCAAGGCGUUGACGGGUAGCCGGCCUGAGAGGGUGACCGGCCACAUUGGGACUGAGAUACGGCCCAGACUCCUACGGGAGGCAGCAGUGGGGAAUAUUGCACAAUGGGCGGAAGCCUGAUGCAGCAACGCCGCGUGCGGGAUGACGGCCUUCGGUUUGUAAACCGCUUUCGCCUGUGACGAAGCGUGAGUGACGGUAAUGGGUAAAGAAGCACCGGCUAACUACGUG